RNAcentral lists this RNase P RNA (378 nucleotides) under human gut metagenome. RNAcentral describes it as "Bacterial RNase P class A". It matches the Rfam family "Bacterial RNase P class A". Rfam says of the family: Ribonuclease P (RNase P) is a ubiquitous endoribonuclease, found in archaea, bacteria and eukarya as well as chloroplasts and mitochondria. Its best characterised activity is the generation of mature 5'-ends of tRNAs by cleaving the 5'-leader elements of precursor-tRNAs. The record is from RNAcentral.
AGCAAGCUGGGCAGCCGCGGGGCGAGGCCGAAAGGCCCGUUCUGAGGAAAGUCCGGGCUCCAUAGGGCAAGGAUAACGGGUAACACCCGCCGGGGGCGACCCCAGGAAAAGUGCAACAGAGAGAUACCGCCUCCCCCCUUUUGGGGGCACUGCGAAAACUGCGUUUUCGUGGGGAGAGGUAAGGAUGGAAAGGCGGAGGUAAGAGCCCGCCCGAUGGCUGGGAACAGUCCAUCGCUGUAAACUCUAUCCGGAGCAACACCGUGGGAGCACGCAUGGCCGGCCCGGCUGUGCUCGGGAGGUGGCUGGAGCGUGUCGGCAACGGCACGUCGAGAUAGAUGGCUGUCUUGAAUGACAGAACCCGGCUUACAGGCUUACUUG